UUCUUGGAGAGUUUGAUCCUGGCUCAGGACGAACGCUGGCGGCGUGCCUAAUACAUGCAAGUCGAGCGAAUUUUUUGGGGCUUGCCCCAGAAGGUUAGCGGCGGACGGGUGAGUAACACGUGGGCAACCUGCCUGUAAGACUGGGAUAACUUCGGGAAACCGGAGCU
This 167-nucleotide ribosomal RNA is filed under the name Neobacillus niacini. RNAcentral's name for it is "partial 16S ribosomal RNA". It matches the Rfam family "Bacterial small subunit ribosomal RNA", at positions 1 to 164 of the family's 1533-position model. The record is from RNAcentral. Lineage: Bacteria; Bacillati; Bacillota; Bacilli; Caryophanales; Bacillaceae.